This 433-nucleotide ribosomal RNA is filed under the name uncultured bacterium. RNAcentral describes it as "partial 16S ribosomal RNA". It matches the Rfam family "Bacterial small subunit ribosomal RNA", at positions 29 to 507 of the family's 1533-position model. The record is from RNAcentral.
AGCGAACGCUGGCGGCAUGCCUAACACAUGCAAGUCGACCGAGACCUUCGGGUCUAGUGGCGCACGGGUGCUUAACGCGUGGGAACCUGCCCUUAGGUUCGGAAUAACUCCCCUAAAGGGGUGCUAAUACCGGAUAAUGUCUUCGGACCAAAGAUUUAUCGCCUUUGGAUGGGCCCGCGUUGGAUUAGCUAGUUGGUAGGGUAAAAGCCUACCAAGGCGACGAUCCAUAGCUGGUCUGAGAGGAUGAUCAGCCACACUGGGACUGAGACACGGCCCAGACUCCUACGGGAGGCAGCAGUGGGGAAUAUUGGACGAUGGGCGAGAGCCUGAUCCAGCAAUGCCGCGUGAGUGAUGAAGGCCUUAGGGUUGUAAAGCUCUUUUACCCGGGAUGAUAAUGACAGUACCGGGAGAAUAAGCUCCGGCUAACUCCGUG